UGCUGUUCUGCCCGACUUACGAAGGGCCGUAUUUAUUAGAUAUCAGCCAAUAAGCAUCCGCUAUUGUGGUGACUCAUAGUAACUUAAUCGGAUCGCAUGGGCUCGUCCCGCGACAAACCAUUCAAGUUUCUGCCCCAUCAUGCUUUCGAUGGUAGUGUAUUGGACUACCAUGGCUUUCACGGGUAACGGAGGAUUAGGGUUCGAUUCCGGAGAGGGAGCCUGAGAAACGGCUACCACUUCCACGGAAGGCAGCAGGCGCGUAAAUUACCCAAUCCUAAUUCAGGGAGGUAGUGACAAGAAAUAACCGGGGCCGGG
Molecule: ribosomal RNA, 315 nt
Filed under: uncultured Spirotrichea
Lineage: Eukaryota; Ciliophora; Spirotrichea
Description: SSU rRNA
Rfam family: Eukaryotic small subunit ribosomal RNA
Source: RNAcentral